Molecule: ribosomal RNA, 119 nt
Organism: Scophthalmus maximus (turbot)
Lineage: Eukaryota; Metazoa; Chordata; Actinopteri; Pleuronectiformes; Scophthalmidae
Source: Ensembl
GCUUACGGCCACACCGCCUGGUUCACGCCCGAUCUCGUUUGAUCUCGGAAGCUAAGAUAGGUUGGGCCUGGUUAGUACUUGGAUGGGAGACCGCCUGGGAAUACCAGGUGCUGUAAAGC